GAUGAACGCUGGCGGCGUGCCUAAUACAUGCAAGUCGAGCGAACAGACGAGGAGCUUGCUCCUCUGACGUUAGCGGCGGACGGGUGAGUAACACGUGGAUAACCUACCUAUAAGACUGGGAUAACUUCGGGAAACCGGAACUAAUACCGGAUAAUAUAUUGAACCGCAUGGUUCAAUAGUGAAAGACGGUUUUGCUGUCACUUAUAGAUGGAUCCGCGCCGCAUUAGCUAGUUGGUAAGGGAACGGCUUACCAAGGCAACGAUGCGUAACCGACCUGAGAGGGUGAACGGCGAACAGGGAGUUGAGACACGGUCCAGACUCCUACGGAAGGCAGCAGUAGGGAAUCUUCCGCAAUGGGCGAAAGCUUGACGGAGCAAGGCCGCGGGAGUGAUGAAAGUCUUAGGAUCGUAAAACUCUGUUAGUAGGGAAGAACAAAUGUGUAAAUAACUAUGCACGUCUUGACGGUACCUAAUCAGAAAGAAACGGCUAACUACGUG
Molecule: ribosomal RNA, 497 nt
Filed under: uncultured bacterium
Lineage: Bacteria
Description: partial 16S ribosomal RNA
Rfam family: Bacterial small subunit ribosomal RNA
Source: RNAcentral